Molecule: long non-coding RNA, 406 nt
Filed under: Ananas comosus (pineapple)
Lineage: Eukaryota; Viridiplantae; Streptophyta; Magnoliopsida; Poales; Bromeliaceae
Description: long non-coding RNA (ACOM_LNC007881)
Source: RNAcentral
UUUUUUGAAAUUUUUCCUAAAAUGUAUCAAGUUAGUACUCUGUAGUUUAGCACUUUCUCACUUUAGUACCCUGUGGUUUAAAGUAUAUCAAGUUAGUACCAUAUGGUUUUCCACUUUCUCACUUUAGUAAUCUGUGGUUUAAUAUUUUAUUAAGAAAAAAUAAAACCACAGGGUAUUAACUUGAUACUUUCAAAAAUAAAAUCACAUGGUACUAACUUGAUACAAAAAUAAAAUUACACAGUCCUAACUUGAUACACCUUAAACUAUAGGGUACUAACGUGAGAAAGUGCAAAACCAUAUGGUACUAACUUAAUACACUUUAAAUCAUAUAGUACUAAAAUGAAAAAGUACAAAACCACAGAGAGGAUUUUUAAAGUUUUUUUUUUUUUUUUCUUACAUGGGUGGU